UUCACUUGUGCACUGCUUAACAUACAGAAACUCAGCUUCCAUACUUGGACACUUACGAAGCUUUUGACUUAUUUCUUGUCAAAGCAAUAAACUUGAGACUCGUAUUCUUGUACCUAGUUAUUGAAGAAUUUUACUGCUGGAUGUGACCAUUUCCCGUCAUGCUACUGCAAUGGUCACCAGAAGCAGGAUUUCUGUGUAUUCUCUGCCAAAAGACCACUCAAAACCUGUAAUGGAACAAGAAUUACAUGGCUUCUAACAAAUAACUCUACUUCACUUUCAAAGUUAAUUCUGGAAAGAGAAGAGACUAAGGUGAAGGGCAGACUGCCAAAAGUCAAACAGCUCCACCUUGGAUCUCAAAUAUCCCUGCCUCUAGAAGCACUGAGAGCCAUGCACUCUUGAGAACUGUCUCCAGAGCUACAGAAAGUCCCUCAGUUUUGUCUGUGUACAGGAGUUGAAUACCUGUAAGCUCAGCAUCAUAGAAAUGAUCCUAUUUGAGUCUUAAAUCACACAAUCUUUUUAAAAUGCUAGUAGUUUUGUGGAGACGGGCUUUGUCUAAAUUCAUAAGGAUGCUUACAUGUUGAAGAGAGUAA
Pezoporus flaviventris is the source of this 590-nucleotide long non-coding RNA. RefSeq lists it as uncharacterized. NCBI's taxonomy places the organism in Eukaryota, Metazoa, Chordata, Aves, Psittaciformes, Psittacidae. The transcript has 3 exons. The record is from RefSeq and is a predicted model, not a curated record.